UGCAAGUCGAACGGCAGCACGGGUGCUUGCACCUGGUGGCGAGUGGCGAACGGGUGAGUAAUAUAUCGGAACGUGCCCUAGAGUGGGGGAUAACGUAGCGAAAGUUACGCUAAUACCGCAUACGAUCUAUGGAUGAAAGUGGGGGAUCGCAAGACCUCAUGCUCCUGGAGCGGCCGAUAUCUGAUUAGCUAGUUGGUGGGGUAAUAGCCCACCAAGGCGACGAUCAGUAGCUGGUCUGAGAGGACGACCAGCCACACUGGGACUGAGACACGGCCCAGACUCCUACGGGAGGCAGCAGUGGGGAAUUUUGGACAAUGGGGGAAACCCUGAUCCAGCAAUGCCGCGUGUGUGAAGAAGGCCUUCGGGUUGUAAAGCACUUUUGUCAGGAACGAAACGGUGGGGGCUAAUAUCCUCUGCUAAUGACGGUACCUGAAGAAUAAGCACCGGCUAACUACGUGCCAGCAGCCGCGGUAAUACGUAGGGUGCAAGCGUUAAUCGGAAUUACUGGGCGUAAAGCGUGCGCAGGCGGUUGUGCAAGACAGAUGUGAAAUCCCCGGGCUUAACCUGGGAAUUGCAUUUGUGACUGCACGGCUAGAGUGUGUCAGAGGGGGGUAGAAUUCCACGUGUAGCAGUGAAAUGCGUAGAUAUGUGGAGGAAUACCGAUGGCGAAGGCAGCCCCCUGGGAUAACACUGACGCUCAUGCACGAAAGCGUGGGGAGCAAACAGGAUUAGAUACCCUGGUAGUCCACGCCCUAAACGAUGUCUACUAGUUGUCGGGUCUUAAUUGACUUGGUAACGCAGCUAACGCGUGAAGUAGACCGCCUGGGGAGUACGGUCGCAAGAUUAAAACUCAAAGGAAUUGACGGGGACCCGCACAAGCGGUGGAUGAUGUGGAUUAAUUCGAUGUCACGCGAAAAACCUUACCUACCCUUGACAUGUACGGAACCCUGCUG
Molecule: ribosomal RNA, 953 nt
Filed under: uncultured Burkholderiales bacterium
Lineage: Bacteria; Pseudomonadati; Pseudomonadota; Betaproteobacteria; Burkholderiales
Description: bacterial SSU rRNA
Rfam family: Bacterial small subunit ribosomal RNA
Source: RNAcentral